RNAcentral lists this ribosomal RNA (762 nucleotides) under uncultured Actinomycetes bacterium. RNAcentral describes it as "bacterial SSU rRNA". It matches the Rfam family "Bacterial small subunit ribosomal RNA", at positions 1 to 755 of the family's 1533-position model. The record is from RNAcentral. Lineage: Bacteria; Bacillati; Actinomycetota; Actinomycetes.
AGGGGUUUGUUCCUGGGCUCAGGACGAACGCUGACGGUGUGCUUUAGGCAUGCAAGUCGAACGAGAAAGCCCUUCGGGGUGAGUAAAGUGGCGAACGGGUGAGUAACACGUGGGCAACCUGCCCCUCGCAGGGGAACAACCGGAGGAAACUCCGGCUAAUACCCCGUAAGCUUUCAGGGUCGCAUGGCCUUGAAAGGAAAGGUAGCUUCGGCCAUCCGGCGAGGGAUGGGCCCGCGGUGCAUUAGCUAGUUGGUGGGGUAAAGGCCCACCAAGGCGACGAUGCGUAGCUGGUCUGAGAGGAUGAUCAGCCACACUGGGACUGAGACACGGCCCAGACUCCUACGGGAGGCAGCAGCCAGGAAUCUUGGGCAAUGGGCGAAAGCCUGACCCAGCAACACCGUGUGGGCGAUGAAGGCCUUCGGGUCGUAAAGCCCUGUUGAUAGGGACGAAGGGCGAAGGGUUAAUAGCCCCUAGCCUGACGGUACCUUUCGAGGAAGCCCCGGCUAACUACGUGCCAGCAGCCGCGGUAAUACGUAGGGGGCGAGCGUUGUCCGGAAUUAUUGGGCGUAAAGAGCGUGUAGGCGGUUCGGUAAGUCUGUCGUGAAAUCCUGGGGCUCAACCCUGGGCGUGCGAUGGAUACUGCCGGGCUAGAGGGUGGUAGAGGCGAGUGGAAUUCCCGGUGUAGCGGUGAAAUGCGCAGAUAUCGGGAGGAACACCAGUAGCGAAGGCGGCUCGCUGGGCCACACCUGACGCUGAGACGCG